AUUUGGAAAACGAGCGCCCACAGUUAACUAAAAUUUUUCGAAACAGUGGUGCAAUUCUGUUGAGGAUUAGCACCACUAGUAUCUACGUAUUGAAACGCUGGUUUAGAAGUUACGGAUUGGUUAUUCCCGGAGACCUCUAUUGGCCACGUGCCCGUCCCACCGGUUAAACCCCCACCGUGUGACAUUCGGAUGAGGCGGUAGCCGAGGGCAUGGACUUGCUCCUCCAGUAAACCCGAUCGGUGGGCUCUGCAAGCGUCGCCUGAACCCGUUCGACCCAUGGGGAUAAUCAGACUGACUCUUCAAAUACACCAGUCGCCUCACGAGCAAUCAAGUGUGCGGGUGUACCUAACCUCACGCCGCAGAUGGACCGCGGUCAUUGACCCUUGGCAUCGGAAGCAGCUGAAGUUACCUGCGGCCGGUACAAUCGUGUGCCACCUCGAGACCUCGAGUAGGAACUCGGUCUCCAGCCGGGAAGCAUCCACCCCGCCUCGGAUUUAGUUAUAUUUUCUAUCUUUCUUUCAAAAUUAGACCCGAUAUGCGAAACCCUGUUUUUUUAUCCGCUUUCUGUUUAACUACGUUCUUUUGAUACGGCAAAAAUUUGCAACAGCCAAUUAAAUCCGGUAUAAACAAAAA
Drosophila pseudoobscura is the source of this 633-nucleotide long non-coding RNA. RefSeq lists it as uncharacterized. The record is from RefSeq and is a predicted model, not a curated record. The transcript is spliced from 2 exons. Lineage: Eukaryota; Metazoa; Arthropoda; Insecta; Diptera; Drosophilidae.